UACGUAGGGCGCAAGCGUUAUCCGGAAUUAUUGGGCGUAAAGAGCUCGUAGGCGGUUUGUCGCGUCUGCCGUGAAAGUCCGGGGCUCAACUCCGGAUCUGCGGUGGGUACGGGCAGACUAGAGUGAUGUAGGGGAGACUGGAAUUCCUGGUGUAGCGGUGAAAUGCGCAGAUAUCGGGAGGAACACCGGUGGCGAAGGCGGCUCUCUGGGCCUGUCCUGACGCUCAUGCGCGAAAGCUAGGGGAGCAAACAGG
Molecule: ribosomal RNA, 253 nt
Filed under: uncultured bacterium
Lineage: Bacteria
Description: partial 16S ribosomal RNA
Rfam family: Bacterial small subunit ribosomal RNA
Source: RNAcentral